RNAcentral lists this ribosomal RNA (477 nucleotides) under uncultured bacterium. RNAcentral describes it as "bacterial SSU rRNA". It matches the Rfam family "Bacterial small subunit ribosomal RNA", at positions 25 to 518 of the family's 1533-position model. The record is from RNAcentral.
CAGGACGAACGCUGGCGGCGUGCCUAACACAUGCAAGUCGAGCGAGGAGAUUCCUUCGGGAUGAUCCUAGCGGCGGACGGGUGAGUAACACGUGGGCAACCUGCCUCAUAGAGAGGAAUAGCCUUCCGAAAGGGAGAUUAAUACCUCAUAACAUUGCAGUUUCGCAUGGAACAGCAAUUAAAGGAGUAAUCCGCUAUGAGAUGGGCCCGCGGCGCAUUAGCUAGUUGGUGAGGUAACGGCUCACCAAGGCGACGAUGCGUAGCCGACCUGAGAGGGUGAUCGGCCACAUUGGGACUGAGACACGGCCCAGACUCCUACGGGAGGCAGCAGUGGGGAAUAUUGCACAAUGGGGGAAACCCUGAUGCAAGCAACGCCGCGUGAGUGAUGACGGCCUUCGGGUUGUAAAGCUCUGUCUUCAGGGACGAUAAUGACGGUACCUGAGGAGGAAGCCACGGCUAACUACGUGCCAGCAGCCGC